This 498-nucleotide ribosomal RNA is filed under the name uncultured bacterium. RNAcentral's name for it is "partial 16S ribosomal RNA". It matches the Rfam family "Bacterial small subunit ribosomal RNA", at positions 899 to 1397 of the family's 1533-position model. The record is from RNAcentral.
ACUCAAAGGAAUUGACGGGGGCCCGCACAAGCGGCGGAGCAUGUGGAUUAAUUCGAUGCAACGCGAAGAACCUUACCUGGGUUUGACAUGCGCCAGACAUCCCUAGAGAUAGGGCUUCCUUUUAGGUUGGUGUACAGGUGGUGCAUGGCUGUCGUCAGCUCGUGUCGUGAGAUGUUGGGUUAAGUCCCGCAACGAGCGCAACCCUUGCCCUACGUUGCCAGCGGGUGAUGCCGGGGACUCGUAGGGGACUGCCGGGGUCAACUCGGAGGAAGGUGGGGAUGACGUCAAGUCAUCAUGCCCCUUAUGUCCAGGGCUUCACACAUGCUACAAUGGCCAGUACAGAGGGUUGCGAUGCCGUGAGGUGGAGCGAAUCCCGUAAAGCUGGUCUCAGUUCGGAUCGGGGUCUGCAACUCGGCCCCGUGAAGCCGGAGUCGCUAGUAAUCGCAGAUCAGCAGUGCUGCGGUGAAUACGUUCCCGGGCCUUGUACACACCGCCCGU